UGCCAUCUCAGAUUUGUUAUUUUUUAUUUGUUCAUGGCAAGAAGGGGUGAAGAGAGGGGAUUUCAAAGUAAGCCUGAUGAAUUUGUCGCUUAGUAUUUGGUUGAUUCCUGAUUCACUAAGAAGUUGAUCAUGUGAAAAUGUUGUAUUUACCUACGAUGGAUUUCUAAGUAAGCUUGAUAAACCUGUGGUAUCUUUGUCAUUUUUCAAUUAAAACUAGGAACUAUGAAUAUCUAUAAAAACACAAGAAUAUGAAGAUCUGGAAUAUGUGAUGGAACUUGGAUAGUGGUGACACAAGGACCCUAAUUGGAGAUGGCAGCAGGUCGGGGUUUCCUCAGGCACCCAAGUUCAUCCAACCCACUUAAACCUUGUUUGUCUGCCCUUUACUCUUGUUUGAGAUGGUUCAAGCAGGAAAAUAGGUACUUGACUCAGGUUGGGCUUUAGAUUCGUGUACCUAGAUAGCGGGGUUUGGGUUCACAUACCCCAACUCAUCAUCAGGAAAAUAGGUACUUGACUCAGGUUGGGCUUUAGAUUCGUGUACCUAGAUAGCCGGGUUUGGGUUCACACACCCCAACUCAUCAUCAUUCCUGGUGUGAGGUAGGAAUGACAACAAGUCAGGUAUUCUUAGGUAUCUGGUCUACCCAUUCUGCUUGAAGGAUGUUCAGGUUCUCUUCAAUCGGGUUUGGGUAGGAAGGUAACCGUGCCAGGUUCAGGUGCAUAGAUAGCUAAUCAGUUUUGGGUGCGAUAGAAUUCGCGUAUACCUGACCAUUGCCAUCUUGAACCUUUAUGUCUGGG
Molecule: long non-coding RNA, 792 nt
Filed under: Musa acuminata (dwarf banana)
Lineage: Eukaryota; Viridiplantae; Streptophyta; Magnoliopsida; Zingiberales; Musaceae
Description: long non-coding RNA (MACU_LNC005930)
Source: RNAcentral